AAUAAACGCUUGGCGGCACGCGUUAACACAUGCAAGUCGAACGGCAGCAUGAAUCAACUUCGGUUGAUUUGAUGGCGAGUGGCGAACGGGUGAGUAACGCGUAGGAAUAUGCCUUAAAGAGGGGGAUAACUCGGGGAAACUCGAGCUAAUACCGCGUAAGCUCUACGGAGUAAAGCAUGGGACCUUCGGGCCAUGCGCUUUAAGAAUAGCCUGCGUCCGAUUAGCUAGUUGGUGGGGUAAAGGCCUGCCAAGGCGAUGAUCGGUAGCUGGUCUGAGAGGAUGGACAGCCACACUGGGACUGAGACACGGCCCAGACUCCUACGGGAGGCAGCAGUGGGGAAUAUUGGACAAUGGGGGCAACCCUGAUCCAGCGAUGCCGCGUGUGUGAAGAAGGCCCGAGGGUUGUAAAGCACUUUUAGUGGGGAGGAAAGGGUACAGGUUAAGAGCUAGUAUCUGUGACGUUACCCACCAUAAACAGCACCGGCUAACUCCGUGCCAGCAGCCGCGGUAAUACGGGGGGUGCAAGCGUUAAUCGGAGUUAUUGGGCGUAAAGGGUGCGUAUGUUGUUCGUUAAGUUAUGUGGGAAAUACCUGGGCUUAACCUGGGAAUGUCGGAUAAUACUGAUGAACUUGAGUAUAGUAGAGGGUAGUGGAAUUCCCCGUGUAGCGGUGAAAUGCCUAAAGAUCUGAAGGACACCACGUGCCGAAGGCGGCUACCUGGACUAAUACUGACACUGAGGCCCGAAAGCGUGGGGAGCAAACAGAAUAUAUACCCUGGUUA
Molecule: ribosomal RNA, 780 nt
Filed under: uncultured bacterium
Lineage: Bacteria
Description: bacterial SSU rRNA
Rfam family: Bacterial small subunit ribosomal RNA
Source: RNAcentral